Sapajus apella (tufted capuchin) is the source of this 1285-nucleotide long non-coding RNA. RefSeq lists it as uncharacterized. The record is from RefSeq and is a predicted model, not a curated record. The transcript is spliced from 2 exons. NCBI's taxonomy places the organism in Eukaryota, Metazoa, Chordata, Mammalia, Primates, Cebidae.
CCAGCCCUUUGGUCAAGCAGCUGCAGGACUACAAUCCCAGCAUGCAGCAGGCUCCAGGGCUUUGCGCAGCUCUGGAAAGAGGAGCAGAGUGGUUCGCAUCCCACCUAGUCAUAUGCUGGGAGCUCUAGUCCCUCAACUGCUCUCAGCCUGUUUGUCGGUAGGCUUUAGAACUAUAAUCCCAGCAUGUCCCGGGAUCUGGAGUGCAUAGCCCUGGAGGGAGGGGCAGACCGGUGUUGACUUCUUGGUGUACAAAGUACUGCUGGGCUCUGAAUCCAUGCCGACUCUUUGCCAAGGAUAGGUUCUUUCCAGAGCAUUGUGUCUUCUGCAGCCCAGGGCGCUGCUUCUUUCCUAAACUGUUGGGGAAACUGCCCUGAUAUCCGAGACACUCUCCAUUGUGCCACAACCCUCUUUUUUCUCUAGCCAGAGCGCGUGCUCAACUGCUUUUGAGAGAAAUCUUCCACCUGGCCUGAUUAUGAACAGCUUCAGAGCACUGUAGAGCAGUGACCAGGACUGUGACUUCCUGGAAAUGUCACUCUCAAUGGCGGUUUUUUCAUGAAUGUGAAAGUCGAUGCAUUAGGAAGGUUAAGUGUAGGGUUGCACGAAAUCUGCUAAAAGUAAAGGAGAAAACCCCAUUUCCGAGGCACGAGUCUUGUGAGGCAUUUUCAAUCAAGCCGUUAAAGUGGACAAGCUCCAAAAUGCAACCUGAAGCUGCUGACGAUUUAGGCAUUUUACAAUUGAAAUCAUCGGUCUCAUCUCAAGUCGGGCCUGACUUGCCAGUGUCUCGGAGACACAAAUGGGACCUGAUCCUUCAGGAACAGACAGUGUUCCAGCUUUGUGGGAGCGACUUUUAAGAUGUUGAGUACCUGGGGUCAUUUGGAACCUGUCUUCCGUAGGGACUUUUACUUCUAGAGAGCAUGUGCAUUUUGAUUUGACCUGUCCUCAAGCUGACGCUUUGCUCAUUUUAAUAAUAAAAACCACACUCUUGGGGGAAGAUUUAAGAUGCUAAUGAGAUAUGCAAUGUAUGCACACAUAUGUAGAGCUGCUGCACAUGUGCACCGAGAAGACCACGCAGAACAUGCUUAGUGUAAACACUUCUUUCCACCUUCUUAUGAAUAAUCAUGUAAAACUCCCCAUAAAGAGGGUUUCUCCACCAAUAAUUAAUGCUUUCUCACCCUUAUGAGCAGGCUGCUCUGGAAUUUCUUUAUCAGAGUGUACCAUCUAUUCUGCAUUUGAUUUUCAAAAUAGUCUUUUUUUUUCAAUAAAUUACUCUAUGUUGUACUUCUUU